GAUGAACGCUGGCGGCGUGCCUAAUACAUGCAAGUCGAGCGAACGGACGAGAAGCUUGCUUCUCUGAUGUUAGCGGCGGACGGGUGAGUAACACGUGGAUAACCUACCUAUAAGACUGGGAUAACUUCGGGAAACCGGAGCUAAUACCGGAUGAUAUUUUGAACCGCAUGGUUCAAAAGUGAAAGACGGUCUUGCUGUCACUUAUAGAUGGAUCCGCGCUGCAUUAGCUAGUUGGUAAGGUAACGGCUUACCAAGGCAACGAUGCAUAGCCGACCUGAGAGGGUGAUCAGCCACACUGGAACUGAGACACGGUCCAGACUCCUACGGGAGGCAGCAGUGGGGAAUCUUGGGCAAUGGGCGAAAGCCUGACGGAGCAACGCCGCGUGAGUGAAGAAGGUCUUCGGAUCGUAAAGCUCUGUUAGUAGGGAAGAACAAAUGUGAAAGUAAAUAUGCACGUCUUGACGGUACCUAAAGAGAAAGCCACGGCUAACUACGUG
This 497-nucleotide ribosomal RNA is filed under the name uncultured bacterium. Its description in RNAcentral is "partial 16S ribosomal RNA". It matches the Rfam family "Bacterial small subunit ribosomal RNA", at positions 28 to 507 of the family's 1533-position model. The record is from RNAcentral.